GUGUUAGAUGUAGGAUGGUGGUGUUAGAGGUAGGGUGGUGGUGUUAGAUGUACGGUGGUGGUGUUAGAUGUAGGAUGGUGGUAUUAUUUAUAGGGUGGUGGUGUUAGAUGUAGGGGUGGUGGUGUUAGAUGUAGGGGUGGUGGUGUUAGAUGUAGGGGUGGUGGUGUUAGAUAUAGGGUGGAGGUGUUAGAUGUAGGGUGGCGGUGUUAGAUGUAGGGUGGUGGUGGUGUUAGAUAUAGUGUGGUGGUGUUAGAUGAGGGUCAUGGUGUUAGAUAGAGGGUGGUAGUGUUAGAUGUAGAGUGGUGGUGUUAGAUAAGGGUCAUGGUGUUAGAUAUAGGUUGGUGGUGCUAGAUAAGGGUCAUGGUGUUAGAUAUAGGUUGGUGGUGUUAGAUGUAGGGUGGUGGUGUUAGAUGUAGGGGUGGGGGUGAUGUUAAAUAUAGGGUGGUGGUAUUAGAUGUAGCGUGGUGGUGUUAGAUGUAGGGUGGAUGUGUUAGAUGUAGGGUGGGGGGUGUUAGAU
Molecule: long non-coding RNA, 517 nt
Organism: Oncorhynchus tshawytscha (Chinook salmon)
Lineage: Eukaryota; Metazoa; Chordata; Actinopteri; Salmoniformes; Salmonidae
Source: Ensembl